CUUGUACCUGGAGGAGCAUGCUAGGUGGCGGGGGAGGGGGAUUCGUCGGAGGCAGAGCAUGAAUAGAAGCCAAAUCUGAGCGGGAGGCAGGAUUGUCUAGUGCAAGAAGUGGCGCCGGGACGGGCGGGCCGCCGGGGAAUUCCAGAGCCGGGCCGCAGCGGGCACCGCCGUCCAUGUCAUCUCGCGCCGCCGGCCAUUGUACAGAUCUAUCACAGAUUAGGAACGGGGUUGGGGCAGCAAUAGCCGUCAGGUGUUUCGUAUAUAAACAGUCAUCAUGCAGAACUACAGCAAGCUCAACAAGCUGCCCACAAUCGUUGAAGAGGACGAAUCAGACAGGGGCAACCGGUAUAACGAUCCUACUUUCAGAUGUUGAGUUCAGAAGGUUUACUUUGUUAUAUCGCAGUUUGACCAGCAGAAACGAGACAUCGUUACCUCUAUGGGUUGGGGUGGCACUCUAUCCAUACCUCUGAUCAGCAAGUUAAGCGUCACGCAUAUGGUUUGGCUUUUGGGGAUGGUGGAUGAGGUCAGACAAGCCAUUAUUUUGGGACCGAAUAAGGUAUUUAAGUUCAAUGAGAGCGAUGUUGAGAAGGUAUUCGGAAUCCCGGCAGCUGGAAUAGAUGUGAUGGGCAAAACUCUGGAUAGGAGCGAGACUGUAUUUGCCCAUAAGGGGAUGCUUGGGCAUGCUAUAAGGGGAAGAUGUCACAAACAGAGGUGGCUGCAUUCGAAACUGCAUACAUCGUAUCUAGAUAGCAUUAAUUUGGGGGAAAUAAGCAUGGCACAUGAUGUGUUCCCCAGAAUAAAAGUUUUCACGGCGGAUAAAACUAGAGCCAUGAUCAAUGCCGACAAAAGGCCGAUGGAUUCAACGAAGAAUAGAGAUUUCAUUUUUGGCAGUUCAGCAGUAAGUCUCCACCCAGACCAUUAUAGGAUUCAGUUUAGCACUGCAUCUUCAGAGAGAGGGCAUACUCGUCGAUUUUUUCUCUUGUUUCGCAGCCACGAGAUGCUGCUAGUUCAGCAUAUUCCAGGGCAGAUAACGACUAUAUUGCACAACAACAAGGGGAUGCUUGGGCAUGUGCAUCAAAGAUUUGUGAUUCUAUGGGCUUGACUCAGGGUGGACACGGUCCGGGCCGGUCCGGUCCCGGUCCGAGCCGUCAUUUGGACCGGCCGCUGGCGGUCCGGGCCGGACCGGACCGAGCAGGCCAGCGGUCCUCUUUUCAGGGACCGGACCGGCGAGGCAAAAGCCCGGGCUGGACCGGCGGACCGGCCAACCACUCACCGGCGACGAGAUGGUGACCAUGGCGUCGGGGAGUGAAGCCUCUAGGCCCUAAUAAGAAGGGGGAACAGAGCGGGAAGGUGCAGUGACUCACGUAGAACACGAUGGUGUGGUCGGGGAGGCCGGGGAAGCAACGACGGCGACAUAAUCGACGAUGAAUGACGGCGACAGGAGUUCGGUAAGGAGGAAGAUGGCGAUGGCUUCGGAAUGAAUCAGGCCGAUUCAUUCCAUGGGGACGUAGAUCUCAUGGUCGCGGAGCUCCUGGACAUGGUGGUUGGUCGUUGGGAGGCCGGUCGCCGCGUCCGCGAGAGGUUGUGCACUGGACGGCGGCGGCAGCGGCACAGGUGCGUGCGUGUGUGCGUUUUUUUGAGCGAAACGUGUCCUGCAGGAUCGAGGCACUGUGAGGGAUGGAGAGGAGAGCUCAGGUGAGUGGCUGGUGGAGUGGUGAUGCGGCGGGCGGCACUCGCCGCUGGGAUGGGAGAGGAAGACGGUGGCGUCGCCGCUGUGAUUCUCGGUCCGCUCGGUCGGCUCGGUUAAAGCCCGGACCGGACCGAAGCUUUGUCGGGCCUGAUUCAUGAGCUCGGACCGAUUGAUUUUUUGAGCGGGCCACGAGCCGGUCCGAAAGGACCGCUCGUGUCGUCCACCCUGAGGCUUGACACAUCAGGCCAAACUUAACCUUUAUAAUAAGCUGAAAGCACAUCAGGAGGGCAUCAUGAAACAUGUUGAAGUUAUGAAUGCAAAUUUUUAUGGGAAGAUAUACAGAAUGUUGAACGACAACAAUUUUACACGUAAUCAGAGUGUAAUGCAUGCAUCUGGGUCGACAAUGUUAAAUAGAGACAACAAUGGCACGAAAUCAUCAACAGUGGAGGAUAAUAUGGCUUCCGAAGGUACGUAUCAGGACCUAUCAGACGCAUAAUGAUUUUGUUUGCAUGCAUUCCAUUUUCAUAGGUGGUUGUGUGUAAAACAAAUAAAUUGUGGACAUAUGUAUUAUAUGUUGGAUCACAGAUGUGAGCAGUCCAGUAAAGAGAAACACUGACGCUUGCAUUCAGCAUAUGCAAAAUAAACGCCCAUGUGUGUAUCUCGAUGGACCAAGCGACGCAGUAGCAUCGCAACAUUGUGGGGGACAGAGGUCUAAUUCUGAGCUGGAUGUCGAUCUGAACGUGGCCGAUCCACUGGCUAGUACGCCUGAGGGGAACAGCAUUCUGUGGUGGAUUAUCCCAUCAGUUUUCGUUUCUCGUAGACUGAGUGUCUCUACCUGGGGUGGGCUAUCAUGGAUGUUAGGAAACGUGUAACCACAGUGUGCUGGGACAACGAGCCGAGUUUCGAUUUAGGUUUGAAUUUUACCCCGUCACCAAAGGUGGACAAGAAUACGAAUGUCCGCGGUAGAUAUCAAGAUGGUGGUUAUGCUUUAUGUGGAAAUAUAUCAGAUGGGGAUGCUGCUGACAUUACCAACGGAUCACAAGGGGUUACAUCAUCAUGUGAGUCGUGGCGAAAUGAUGGCAUCGCGGGUGGGAGUAGUGAUGGUCAAGGACCAGACCAUUCAGCACACACCCCCAGCGCAUGACCAUCAGACAAUUUGGGCACACCAGCAAGUUCAGUGGCUGACUCUGUUCCUCCCUACUGGUACCUUAGCGAGCAGACAAGGUUCAAAUCAAACUUCACUCGCGGCAGCCUGAUGAUGGAAGCAGGUGGACUCGUUGGCGUGCCUCUCCACCUGCCAAAAGAUAUCCAUGGCUAGGAACAGGCGUGGCGAAUGCUGAGAAGGUCAGAGAGAUUACAUCGGGACUGCUUUAUCAUGUGGUAUAGUUCCUCCAAGCCAAGGCCAUGAUUUUGACAAUUGGAAUAGGAACCUUUUUUUAGUGUAAGACCAUUUUCAUAAUGGAGAAAUAAGACCAUUUUCAUAAUGGAGAAAUAAUUAAAUAAAGCAAAGAAUGAUGUCAGAUGAAUGGCAUUUGCUGUGUAUUUGACCUUUUUUGUGUGAAAUAAAAAAUUUGGGCAUA
Molecule: long non-coding RNA, 3270 nt
Organism: Triticum aestivum (bread wheat)
Lineage: Eukaryota; Viridiplantae; Streptophyta; Magnoliopsida; Poales; Poaceae
Exons: 5
Source: RefSeq, a predicted model, not a curated record